CGGCUAACUACGUGCCAGCAGCCGCGGUAAUACGUAGGUGGCAAGCGUUAUCCGGAAUUAUUGGGCGUAAAGCGCGCGUAGGCGGUUUUUUAAGUCUGAUGUGAAAGCCCACGGCUCAACCGUGGAGGGUCAUUGGAAACUGGAAAACUUGAGUGCAGAAGAGGAAAGUGGAAUUCCAUGUGUAGCGGUGAAAUGCGCAGAGAUAUGGAGGAACACCAGUGGCGAAGGCGACUUUCUGGUCUGCAACUGACGCUGAUGUGCGAAAGCGUGGGGAUCAAACAGGAUUAGAUACCCUGGUAGUCCACGCCGUAAACGAUGAGUGCUAAGUGUUAGGGGGUUUCCGCCCCUUAGUGCUGCAGCUAACGCAUUAAGCACUCCGCCUGGGGAGUACGGCCGCAAGGCUGAAACUCAAAGGAAUUGACGGGCGCCCGCACAAGCGGUGGAGCAUGUGGUUUAAUUCGAAGCA
RNAcentral lists this ribosomal RNA (466 nucleotides) under uncultured Staphylococcus sp. RNAcentral describes it as "bacterial SSU rRNA". It matches the Rfam family "Bacterial small subunit ribosomal RNA", at positions 494 to 958 of the family's 1533-position model. The record is from RNAcentral. Lineage: Bacteria; Bacillati; Bacillota; Bacilli; Caryophanales; Staphylococcaceae.